Molecule: non-coding RNA, 911 nt
Filed under: Histioteuthis bonnellii (umbrella squid)
Lineage: Eukaryota; Metazoa; Mollusca; Cephalopoda; Oegopsida; Histioteuthidae
Description: 12S ribosomal RNA
Rfam family: Microsporidia small subunit ribosomal RNA (bases 494-904)
Source: RNAcentral
AUUUAAUUUGGCUUUGGUUAUAAUAUAAAUUGUUGCUAAGUUUAUAUAUGUUAGGUUUUGAGACAUAGCGUUUUGUUUAUAUGUACAUUAUAUUUUUAAAGUUUAAUAUUAUAUAAAUGAGAGUACAGGUUAUUAGUAUUUUACUAGUAUAACAUUGAGUAGCUACGCAGUAUUUAUAUUUAUACAAUGAAUGAGAGUUUGAUAUAGUUAGUGUGUUUAAGAGUGGUUAAAUUGGUGCCAGCAUCUGCGGUUAUACCUAUACUUUUAGUUUAUAUUAAAACAGUAUAAAAUAAAGUAAUGAGGUUAAAUAUAUUAGAAUUGAUGAGAGUAGUAAUUGUAGGUAAAAUUUAAUUUAUUACUAUUAAUUGUAUUAUUCUAAGUUAAGUUCUUUGAAAAUAGGAUUUGAGUAGACUAGGAUUAGAGACCCUAUUAUUCUUUAUUUUAAAAAUUUUAUUACUUAGGUAGUAUAAAUAUAAAUAUUAUAUUUAAUUUUAUGAUGUUUGAAACUUAAAAGGCUUGGCGGUGUCAUAUAUCCUUCCAGGGGAGUUUGUUUAUUAAUUUGAUGAUCCUCAAUUUAUACUUACUUUUUUUUGAAUGUAACAGUUUGUGUAUUGCUGUCGUCAGUUUAUUUUGUAAAAAUUUUGGAAAAAACUUAAUAAUGAAUUGGUUGGGAUGUCAAGUCAAAAUGCAGCUAAUGAAAAAGGUUUAAGUGAACUACAAUUUAUAAUUUUUAAUCGGAUUGGGCUAUGUAAUUGGUUUAUGAAGUUGGACUUGGUAGUAAUAAAAAUUAUGUAAAUAGUGGGUUUUUAUGAAUUGGGUUUUAUGGUGCGUACAUAUCGCCCGUCGCUCUUGUUGGAAAAUAAGAUAAGUCGUAACAUAGUAGGGGUAGUGGAAGCUGUUCCUGGAGUGUA